AUGGUUCGUUGGUCGGAGAUUUGUAAACCGCGCUAUCAGGGUGGUCUCGGGAUCAUGUCCUCCAAAUGCAUGAACAUUGCCCUCCUAACGAGAUGGUUGUGGCGGAUUGCCAACGGACAGGGUGGCCUGUGGCUUCACCUCAUUCAGCAGAAAUACCUCCGUGGCCAGCCUCUCACCUUCUGCCAGUGGUCUGGAGGUUCCUAG
This 204-nucleotide ribosomal RNA is filed under the name Triticum aestivum (bread wheat). RNAcentral's name for it is "partial small subunit ribosomal RNA". The record is from RNAcentral. Lineage: Eukaryota; Viridiplantae; Streptophyta; Magnoliopsida; Poales; Poaceae.